AAUGCUGGGGAGCCUGGCGACCUCGAGCGCCAGGGGGGAAGAGCGAGAGCAGGCGUGACACAUUUAUUAUGUUCAAUAUAGGAGGACAAGAAGCAGCUCUUUCAGUAGUUUAGUUGGAAUAGGGUCCAGUAGGCAGCUGGAAGGUUUAGAGGCCAUGACUAUUUUUACAAAGUGCGCAGUUGGGUGCCAGACUGAUCCCCUUGUCAUGAACGGAUGCCGGAACCUACCAGAAGUAGCAAAGAUUCAUCUAUGGAGCCAGCACUUGGAGACUUACAAGAUGGAAAGGACUGUAGAUGCUUUUUCCAAGACUCCUUCCUCUGUUGUUUGAUGGGGAGACCAUUGGAAACAUGUAUGGCGCCAGCACGUGCAGACUUGCAAGAUAAUGUGAUGAAGUCCAGACUGACACACGGGCUUGAUGGUGAUGUCUCUGAAUGGAGAGAGACCUGGCACUCAGCAUUCAAAUUUAAGUAGACAACUUUUACUUGUAUUGUGUUUUUUAUUAUUGAAUUGAAUGAUAUCAGUCAAUAUGGGGUGGGAAAAUCCCUGUGUAUUCUGCACCAGCAUCAGGGAACUCCUGUUGUAUAAGGGACACCACACAGGAAGGUAUGACCACUCUGUUCGCCAAGGCCCUUUACCACCAGGCAAAAUGUUGAUAGGCACAGUAUCUGUAUCAGCUGGGAAUGACUACGGAAGGUGAAAGGUGCACAUUGUUUCUAUAGUAUUAUGUAAAGGGUUGUUUAUUCUAUAUGGACCUGUUUCUACAUUUGAAAGGUAUCAAAACACUUUGUUUAGAAUAUCUACAUAAAUUCAGCAAUUGCAUUCUCCUCAUAUUACUCUGCAGGUUACAGACCUAUUCAAAGCUUCCUCCGACAUCUGCCUAUAAAUAUUGAACUCAACCUGCAGGAUGUUUGUUUGUUGUGAUUGAGAGGGGGGAAACAGCUGCGCGCAAGGUUCUGACAGAUGUUUGUGCCUUAAUAGUGGUAAGUCGCUCUGGAUAACAGCAUCUGCUAAAUGACUAAAAUGUCAAAUGCAAAUGUUUUACAUACCGAUCGAAAUUGUAUUUAAUUGUUUUAUAUUGACGUCACAAAUGUAUCAUUUGUACAUUUCUUUAUAUAAAAAAAUAUUUGUGACAUUUGACAGUGUAAAACCUUGCAGGACUAGUUAUUUCUCUGAGAGAGGACG
Molecule: long non-coding RNA, 1182 nt
Filed under: Salmo salar (Atlantic salmon)
Lineage: Eukaryota; Metazoa; Chordata; Actinopteri; Salmoniformes; Salmonidae
Description: lncRNA (ENSSSAG00000119744.1)
Source: RNAcentral